UAGGGAAUCUUCCGCAAUGGACGCAAGUCUGACGGAGCAACGCUGCGUGAGUGAAGAAGGAUUUCGGUUCGUAAAACUCUGUUGUUAGAGAAGAACAGCGCAUAGAGUAACUGUUAUGCGUGUGACGGUAUCUAACCAGAAAGCCACGGCUAACUACGUGCCAGCAGCCGCGGUAAUACGUAGGUGGCAAGCGUUGUCCGGAUUUAUUGGGCGUAAAGCGAGCGCAGGCGGUCAAUUAAGUCUGAUGUGAAAGCCCCCGGCUCAACCGGGGAGGGUCAUUGGAAACUGGUUUACUUGAGUGCAGAAGAGGGGAGUGGAAUUCCAUGUGUAGCGGUGAAAUGCGUAGAUAUAUGGAGGAACACCAGUGGCGAAGGCGACUCUCUGGUCUGUAACUGACGCUGAGGCUCGAAAGCGUGGGUAGCAAACAGG
RNAcentral lists this ribosomal RNA (429 nucleotides) under Bacteroidota bacterium. Its description in RNAcentral is "Bacteroidetes bacterium partial 16S ribosomal RNA". It matches the Rfam family "Bacterial small subunit ribosomal RNA", at positions 355 to 776 of the family's 1533-position model. The record is from RNAcentral. Lineage: Bacteria; Pseudomonadati; Bacteroidota.